RNAcentral lists this long non-coding RNA (1274 nucleotides) under Marmota monax (woodchuck). The record is from RNAcentral. Lineage: Eukaryota; Metazoa; Chordata; Mammalia; Rodentia; Sciuridae.
CUUCUGUUCCACUGAUCUAUAAGUGUAUUCUUUUUUAUUUUUUUGGUUUGUGCUCAGUUUUUUAAACUUUAUUUUUUUAAUUUGAAUAUCUAUAUAUAUUUUCACAUAUAUAUUCCUACAUGUUUCUAUCCAUUCAUGUGUAUAUGAAUAUACCCAAAUGGCAACCAAAUUCCUGUUCAUAUAUUUUUAUGUCUAUUCUUAUGACAUUCUCUCUUAUAGUCUUGCAUAUGGUAAACUGAUAUGCAAGCUUUGGACUCAGAUAAUGUAAAGUCUCCAACUUUGUUGUUCUUUUUCAAAAUCAUUUUGGCUAUUAUAAGUCCUUUACAUUUCCACAUCAAUUCAGCUGGUUAAUUUCUACCCCCAAAAAAACUUACUGGGAUUUUAUUUUCCCCUCUCUACUUGUCUAUUUUAAAAUUUAUUUAUUUAUUGGUUAUACAGGACUAUAGAGUGUUUUUUGGUAAAUAGACACAAUACCUUUAUUUUUUUUCUAUAUUGGUGCUAAGGAUUGAGCCCAAUGCCUCACACGUGGCAAGUGCUCUACCACUGAGCAACACCACCAUCCCCAGUAGAGUGUAUUUUAACAUAUCAUACAUAGAACAUAACUUCUCAUUCUGUGGUUGGACACGAUGUGGAGUUACACUGGUCAUGUAUUCGUAUAUAAACAAAUUAUAUACGAAUACAUGACCAGUGUUAUAUCAAAUUCAUUCAUUCUACUGUCUUUCCUAUUCUCAUCCCCCUCCCUUCCCUUCAUUCCCCUUUGUCCAAUGAACUUCUUCUUGCUCCACCCACCCCUUAUUAUGUGUUAGCAUCUGAAUAUCAGAGAAAACAUUCAGCCUUUGGUUUUUUGAGAUUGGCUUAUUUCAUUUAGCAUGAUAGCCUCAGUUCCAUCCAUUUACCAGCAAAUGCCAUAAUUUCAUUUUUCUUAUGGCUGAGUAAUAUAUUACAUUGUGUAUAUAUACCACAUUUUCUUUAUCCAUUCAUCUGUUGAAGAGCACCUAGCUUGGUUCCAUAGCUUAGAUACUGUGAAUUGAGCUGCUCUAAACAUUAAUGUGGCUAUUAUCACUAUAGUAUACUGAUUUUUUUUUUUGGUAAAUAUUUUUAGUUGUAAAUGGACACAAUACUUUCAUUUUAAUGUGGUACUGAGGAUCAAACCCAGUGCCUCACAUGUACUAGGCAAGUGCUCUACCACAAUCCUAGCCUGUAUGCUGAUUUUAAGUUGGGAUUUUUUUAAUAUUUAAUUUUUAGUUGUAAUUGGACACAAUACCUUUAUUUAU